GUAAACUUGAUGCUUCUGGACUGACAAACUGAAAAAGCUCCGGAGUCUCAAAGACUCUUCAGGAAGUUAAAGCUGAAGAGGAUUUAAUAUUUGGUUCUGGAGAGAAUACAAAGUCAAGUGAAGUUGUGCAGCAUCUUUCCACGUUACGAAGAUGAAAACGAGGAAGAGGAGACAUGAGAAGCGAGAAUAAAGAGAUUUAAUCCACCAGAUGUUUGAGAGCUUUGCUUCUCCCAUGUCCCAUCGGCUGAUGACCUUACUGCAGACAGCCACUAGGGAGCGAUGAAGACAUUUUGGCUUCACUCUUAGGAAGCUGUCAUGUCGUCCAUCUUCAUACAAACUCUGUGGGUGCAACUGUUGUAUAAUACGAAUAUAAACCCUGACUGAUGCUGAACAGUAAAACUUUUUAUUUUUGUUAUAGUUCAUCGUAAAGACUCGUCUGAAGUUUUCAGGUCACGAUGGCAGAAAAACGAGGUAAAACGAGAAAGAGGUCACAGCUGUGAUUUACAGGAGCCGACAGUAAGGACUGGACAUCUUUGUUCAGACAGCUCACACGAAGGCAGCGAGAAACCUGAGCCGUGACACAAAUUGCGGCUGUGAAGGAGCUGACCUCGCUGCCCCUGUAAAACCCGGAGCCGCCACCUUCAGAGGCUCCUCUCAACCUCCGGCCCCUCAGCGCCGCGUCUGAGAGACUUCUGCCGUUGUACCCAGUGACAUUUACAGCUCAAACAAUCACAGGAAGCUUUGGUCAGACCGGACAGACAGAGAUGUUGCCGUUGAGCCUCAGACACGUCUCAGUGUCACUCCGGCACCGUGAUGGAGCUUAAUUGCAUCGUUGUUUGAACACUAAAAGAAAAAGUACCGCACAUAAAUCAUCCUGUUACACGGAGAAGCUUGUAAAUCAUGACUCUGCGACUGCUGGGGGAAAUAGACACAAGCUGAAACAUUAUCCAGGGUUGAACUGAGGAAACUUCUGCUCUCAUGUCUGGACUUUCUUCUAUCCCUCUCCAGCAUCUGACUGUGUGUCAGGACCUCCAUCUGUUUUUACUGUUCCAGCAUCGUCGCUGAGGGAAGAAACGAUUUUCAAGUCCCUGCGAUCGCCGGCCAUCUCGUCCCAUCGGACGCUCCUCAUUCUUUUUUUCGCCGAGCUUUUAUCCUGUCUCUGAUAGUGGAGGAGAAAGCCUGGAAAUUGAACCUCUGAAUAAAGGGAACGACAUGUAAUAAAUAUGGAAUCACGGAGCACUCGUGUGCCGUCGGUUCAGAAUAACCACUCUUCUUCAACGUAAGAAAUCAUUGAGCUUUCUGAAAACAU
Paralichthys olivaceus (Japanese flounder) is the source of this 1309-nucleotide long non-coding RNA. RefSeq lists it as uncharacterized. NCBI's taxonomy places the organism in Eukaryota, Metazoa, Chordata, Actinopteri, Pleuronectiformes, Paralichthyidae. The record is from RefSeq and is a predicted model, not a curated record.